Long non-coding RNA from Nycticebus coucang (slow loris), 291 nucleotides. RefSeq lists it as uncharacterized. The record is from RefSeq and is a predicted model, not a curated record. Lineage: Eukaryota; Metazoa; Chordata; Mammalia; Primates; Lorisidae. The transcript has 4 exons.
UGCCCUUGCUCAUGGCACUGGGAGAGCUUGUGAGAAAAUGAGAUCACGUAGAGCCUCUCCCUCUGGGAUCCCAUCCCUGAUAUCAUGUGACAUGUAGUCAUCAUGUCUUCUUAGCCUCGUCUGCACUAAGGAAGAAUGUAAAAAAUUGAAAAGGCUGUUUGGGACCAAGAACUAGAGGCCAGGAUUCUGUAGACUGGCUAAUAGCUAUCAGCAUGACUUUGGGAGAGAAGUGUGAGUUAUGGGAGGACUGCUUUAUCCAGAUGACAACUUCUGAUUCAAAAAUGGACAAUC